CCCCCCCUAGCUUUUUCCGCCUAUAUACCACCGUCGCCAGCUUACCCUGUGAAGGACUUAUAGUAAGCACAAUCGGCACAGCCCAAAACGUCAGGUCGAGGUGUAGUGCAUGGGAGGGGAAGAAAUGGGCUACAUUCGCUGCAGAUCAGCGAAUACGAAUGAUACAUUGAAACAUGUAAUUGAAGGAGGAUUUAGCAGUAAGCGGGAAGUAGAGCGUUCCGCUGAAGCCGGCUCUUAAGCGCGCACACACCGCCCGUCACCCUCCCCGAGCAACUGGACCUUAAUUCUUCUUAAACCCUAACAACCGCGAAGGAGAGGAAAGUCGUAACAUGGUAAGCGUACCGGAAGGUGCGCUUGGUCAAA
This 363-nucleotide ribosomal RNA is filed under the name Atule mate (yellowfin scad). Its description in RNAcentral is "partial 12S ribosomal RNA". It matches the Rfam family "Bacterial small subunit ribosomal RNA", at positions 1019 to 1533 of the family's 1533-position model. Lineage: Eukaryota; Metazoa; Chordata; Actinopteri; Carangiformes; Carangidae. The record is from RNAcentral.